GAUGAACGCUGGCGGCGUGUUUAAGGCAUGCAAGUCGAACGUGUACCUUCGGGUACAAGUGGCAAACGGGAGAGUAACACAUUGGUAACCUACCUCGAAGUUCGGGACAACCCAUCGAAAGAUGGGCUAAUACCGGAUGUGGCCGUUAUAUAAUUUAUAACGUCUAAAGAUUUAUCGCUUCGAGAGGGGCCUAUGGUCUAUCAGCUUGUUGGUGGGGUAAAAGCCUACCAAGGCGACGACGGAUAGCGGGUGUGAGAGCAUGACCCGUCUCACUGGGACUGAGACACUGCCCAGACUCCUACGGGUGGCUG
This 311-nucleotide ribosomal RNA is filed under the name uncultured Parcubacteria group bacterium. Its description in RNAcentral is "bacterial SSU rRNA". It matches the Rfam family "Bacterial small subunit ribosomal RNA", at positions 28 to 351 of the family's 1533-position model. The record is from RNAcentral.